RNAcentral lists this ribosomal RNA (506 nucleotides) under uncultured bacterium. RNAcentral describes it as "partial 16S ribosomal RNA". It matches the Rfam family "Bacterial small subunit ribosomal RNA", at positions 29 to 523 of the family's 1533-position model. The record is from RNAcentral.
AUUGAACGCUGGCGGCAGGCCUAACACAUGCAAGUCGGACGGUAGCACAGAGGAGCUUGCUCCUCGGGUGACGAGUGGCGGACGGGUGAGUAAUGUCUGGGGAUCUGCCCGAUAGAGGGGGAUAACCACUGGAAACGGUGGCUAAUACCGCAUAACGUCGCAAGACCAAAGAGGGGGACCUUCGGGCCUCUCACUAUCGGAUGAACCAAGAUGGGAUUAGCUAGUAGGCGGGGUAACGGCCCACCUAGGCGACGAUCCCUAGCUGGUCUGAGAGGAUGACCAGCCACACUGGAACUGAGACACGGUCCAGACUCCUACGGGAGGCAGCAGUGGGGAAUAUUGCACAAUGGGCGCAAGCCUGAUGCAGCCAUGCCGCGUGUAUGAAGAAGGCCUUCGGGUUGUAAAGUACUUUCAGCGGGGAGGAAGGCGAUGUGGUUAAUAACCGCGUCGAUUGACGUUACCCGCAGAAUAAGCACCGGCUAACUCUGUGCCAGCCGCCGCAGUAA